GGACCCUUAGCUCAGUUGGUAGAGCAGUCGGCUCAUAACCGAUCGGUCACAGGUUCGAGUCCUGUAGGCUCCACCA
RNAcentral lists this transfer RNA (76 nucleotides) under Caldalkalibacillus thermarum TA2.A1. Its description in RNAcentral is "tRNA-Ile". It matches the Rfam family "tRNA". From Rfam's summary of the family: Transfer RNA (tRNA) molecules are approximately 80 nucleotides in length. Their secondary structure includes four short double-helical elements and three loops (D, anti-codon, and T loops). The record is from RNAcentral. Lineage: Bacteria; Bacillati; Bacillota; Bacilli; Caryophanales; Bacillaceae.